This 449-nucleotide ribosomal RNA is filed under the name uncultured bacterium. RNAcentral describes it as "bacterial SSU rRNA". It matches the Rfam family "Bacterial small subunit ribosomal RNA", at positions 355 to 801 of the family's 1533-position model. The record is from RNAcentral.
UAAGGAAUAUUGGUCAAUGGAGGCAACUCUGAACCAGCCAUGCCGCGUGCAGGAAGAAGGCCCUAUGGGUCGUAAACUGCUUUUGAACAAGAGAAAACCCCGGUACGUGUACUGGGUUGAUAGUAUUGUUAGAAUAAGCAUCGGCUAACUUCGUGCCAGCAGCCGCGGUAAGACGAAGGAUGCAAGCGUUAUCCGGAUUCAUUGGGUUUAAAGGGUGCGUAGGCGGACUGAUAAGUCAGUGGUGAAAUCUCUCGGCUUAACCGAGAAACUGCCAUUGAUACUGUUAGUCUAGAGUACAGAUGAUGUGGGCGGAAUAUGACAUGUAGUGGUGAAAUACUUAGAUAUGUCAUAGAACACCGAUUGCGAAGGCAGCUCACAAAACUGUAACUGACGCUGAGGCACGAAAGUGCGGGGAUCAAACAGGAUUAGAUACCCACGUAGUCCCUGAG